UACAAUAUAUCAUUGGCAUAAUAUAUGGUUUAUUUCUCACCAUUACAUGUAAACAGGAUUUCUACAGCAGAUAUAAUUUACAGAAUCCGGUGACUAUCUUUUACUCUCAUGAAAUAAAGGAUCUACCGCGUGCUACGUGUGCACUAUUGUGUUCAUCUACUGAAGGUUGUUCAUGGUUCUACUGGUACAACAGAUCCUGUCAUGUACUCAACGGAGCCUCGCCUGGUAACAGUUCAGUAAAUAUUGGAUUUAUUUACGUUGACGAUGCACUUGGGGAUAAUUGUCAUCUAGCUGGGUAUUUGCCCAUAUUAGGGGGGUUAUUAUGUGUAAAGGUAUACAACACACCAAAGAAUUGGAUAGACGCCAAGGCAACUUGUGAACAAGAUGGUGGACAGUUACUUGUGAUGAGAACGAGUGUCUUCCAUUUUAAACUGAAUGCACUGAAGAUGUUACCUUCAAUCUCUACAACCGUGCAAUAUUGGAUUGGAGGCAAUGACAUGGAUGAAGAAUCCAAAUUUAUGUGGAUAGAUGGGUCGCAAGUUAUAACCGAGGGAUGGCGACAAGGGAGCCCGAAUGACUACGGCGGUUAUGAAG
Long non-coding RNA from Patella vulgata (common limpet), 594 nucleotides. RefSeq lists it as uncharacterized. Lineage: Eukaryota; Metazoa; Mollusca; Gastropoda; Patellidae. The record is from RefSeq and is a predicted model, not a curated record. The transcript is spliced from 3 exons.